UGGGGAAUAUUGGGCAAUGGGCGCAAGCCUGACCCAGCAACGCCGCGUGAAGGAAGAAGGCCCUCGGGUUGUAAACUUCUUUUAUCAGGGACGAAACAAAUGACGGUACCUGAUGAAUAAGCCACGGCUAACUACGUGCCAGCAGCCGCGGUAAUACGUAGGUGGCAAGCGUUAUCCGGAUUUACUGGGUGUAAAGGGCGUGUAGGCGGGUCUGCAAGUCAGAUGUGAAAUCUCAUGGCUCAACCAUGGAACUGCAUUUGAAACUGUAGAUCUUGAGUGAUGGAGAGGCAGGCGGAAUUCCGU
Molecule: ribosomal RNA, 303 nt
Filed under: uncultured bacterium
Lineage: Bacteria
Description: bacterial SSU rRNA
Rfam family: Bacterial small subunit ribosomal RNA
Source: RNAcentral